This 1507-nucleotide long non-coding RNA is filed under the name Mus musculus (house mouse). RNAcentral describes it as "cyclin dependent kinase 6, opposite strand transcript 1, transcript variant 2 (Cdk6os1)". Lineage: Eukaryota; Metazoa; Chordata; Mammalia; Rodentia; Muridae. The record is from RNAcentral.
GCAGAUACGCCCACGUGCACAGGACGAGUGCGCCGCCGAGCCCCGGGCUGCUCCUGCCCAGGGUGUGCAUUUGAACUGCAAAGCUUUAAAUAAGAAAAGUAAACUUGGGACUUGAAGCAAGAGUGCACGCUUGCGGGGCUUCAACCCCGGUGGGCUGUGUGCACUACUCCGUGCAUAACGCGCCAGAGGGGUCGCCAAGCAGGAAGCCUGGGCGAACGUUUUACUCCUUAAUUGGGAAGAUGGGGCCCAUACCCACACCCCUCGGGAGGUUACAGAGGGAACUUGCACAGGGAAAAUGAGCGUGGGGGCGCGGAAACACACUCUACAGCACGGAAUCCCACCCAGACGGUGCACGUUCAAUUUUAAAUGUGACUGUCCAAGUAGAGUCAGUUUGGGGAAGCUCGAUGAAAAGUGAACGUAUGGGUAUUUUACGCAUGAAAUCUGUUCAAACUGGCAUAGGACUCUAGUGUCGGGGUGUCCCCGCUGUGGGAGGUUCCUCUGGAGAUCUCUAGCUCUAGGUGGCCCCCAUAACCUACCCAGUCUCAACUCCUAAGGGGUUAACCCAAGCGGAUUCCGAGGGGCCACACAGCCCCCUACACCCCGUUACUCUCACCCACUCCGAUCCUUGUCGGAGACCCUCGCCCCUCAGCCCACCCACGUGAGUCCGUGGCCCCUUACCUGCGGUCCAGGGACGCCGGCCUCCUGUGAAGCUGGAGUGUCUGUCUGCCCCCGCACGUGUUCGCCCCGCGGAGCAGGUCCUCGUAAGCUUCAAGAGAGCAAGACUUUGGUGGUUCAAACCCAGGCUCUGUCACUAGUUAGCUUUGUGUGCUUGGAUUGGAACCAGUCCAGUUGUCAUCUGAGAGGCUUCCUCCAUCAUGGAGGAGAUGGAGAUAGAACAACCACUGUCAGGUGGAAUACUAUGAGCUCCAGAUUCAGGAAGCCAAGACGGGAGUGUUGUGCCUGGGAAAAUUAGGACAACCCUGACUCAAAGAAACAAAAGAAACUGAAGCAAGAGGACAAACAGCAAAACAGCAUGCAUGUAAAACAGUCCCUGUCUGGAUGGACCUGCGCCUGCAGCGGGAAGUUCACUGGUCAAUUACCUGCUGACUGAAGCGGCCUAUUUUCUUCUGACCCCUGCCCCUCUCUUCCCCUCUCCGCCCUGAAAGCUGUUUGGCAUAGGGAGGUCUUGACCUGAGGAAACCAUUUUGGGUAACCAGGGCAAGGAAGGGGAAUAUGCAACACCUAGGAGAUUUCAGCAAACAGUAGAAUCAUGCCAACGUAAUCUGUGUUAAAAUGCUUGGAAUGUGGGAGCCGCUGGUGAUGUCUGUUGUCUGUGUGUCUCCAGGAAUCCUUUCUUUUUUAAGCGCAGCAAAGCCAAGCCUGGGAACCAGGCCAAGCGCCUGCCACUUACCUUAAAUUGAUCAGCCACUUUGAGAUUAAAACCCCUGAAAGCUGCCGCUCAGUGAAAGCAAGGCCUCUUUCACAUUAAAGGCAAAUUGCGACUGUG